GUAUUCUAUAGUAGAAGGGUUCAUCCCCACCAUCCAAACCGUGGGUUUGGUACUCACUGAGUCGCCGCUACCAUGGGCUGAAAGAAUCGGUGGAGAUGCCGAUAAUGGGUCUGCUUUCCUCUGCCUGUCCGAUUCUAUAAAGAUUCUGCAGGACUGUUUUUGAGAAUGAGGAGAUGCCCUUUGAAGUUCCAAGGGAUUUGAUCCAGAAUUCUCUUUUUGUCCCUAGCAUUUUGGAAUGUAAAUAGAAAAAGAUUUGCCUCAA
Juglans microcarpa x Juglans regia is the source of this 262-nucleotide long non-coding RNA. RefSeq lists it as uncharacterized. The transcript has 2 exons. NCBI's taxonomy places the organism in Eukaryota, Viridiplantae, Streptophyta, Magnoliopsida, Fagales, Juglandaceae. The record is from RefSeq and is a predicted model, not a curated record.